GAAGGUAUAGUUCAGUGGUAGAGCACAUGCUUAGCAUGCACAAGAUCCUAGGUUCAAUCCUCAGUACCUCCA
RNAcentral lists this transfer RNA (72 nucleotides) under Camelus ferus (Wild Bactrian camel). It matches the Rfam family "tRNA". Rfam says of the family: Transfer RNA (tRNA) molecules are approximately 80 nucleotides in length. Their secondary structure includes four short double-helical elements and three loops (D, anti-codon, and T loops). Lineage: Eukaryota; Metazoa; Chordata; Mammalia; Artiodactyla; Camelidae. The record is from Rfam by way of RNAcentral.